AUUGAACGCUGGCGGCAGGCCUAACACAUGCAAGUCGAACGAGUGGCGGACGGGUGAGUAAUGUCUGGGAAACUGCCUGAUGGAGGGGGAUAACUGCUGGAAAAGGUAGCUAAUACCGCAUACCAUCAGAUGUGCCCAGAUGGGAUUAGCUUGUUGGUGGGGUAACGGCUCACCAAGGCGACGAUCCCUAGCUGGUCUGAGAGGGUGACCGGCCACACUGGAACUGAGACACGGCCCAGACUCCUACGGGAGGCAGCAGUAGGGAAUAUUGGACAAUGGGCGAAAGCCUGAUGCAGCCAUGCCGCGUGUGUGAAGAAGGCCUUCGGGUUGUAAAGUUCUUUCAGCAGGGAGGCGUUACCCGAAGAAGAAGCACCGGCUAACUCCGUGCCAGCAGCCGCGGUAAUUC
This 406-nucleotide ribosomal RNA is filed under the name uncultured bacterium. RNAcentral describes it as "partial 16S ribosomal RNA". It matches the Rfam family "Bacterial small subunit ribosomal RNA", at positions 30 to 526 of the family's 1533-position model. The record is from RNAcentral.